UUGAAGUUCAGGUAACACUGAAUGGAGGACCGAACCGACUUACGUUGAAAAGUGAGCGGAUGAACUGAGGGUAGCGGAGAAAUUCCAAUCGAACCUGGAGAUAGCUGGUUCUCUCCGAAAUAGCUUUAGGGCUAGCCUCAAGUGAUGAUUAUUGGAGGUAGAGCACUGUUUGGACGAGGGGCCCCUCUCGGGUUACCGAAUUCAGACAAACUCCGAAUGCCAAUUAAUUUAACUUGGGAGUCAGAACAUGGGUGAUAAGGUCCGUGUUCGAAAGGGAAACAGCCCAGACCACCAGCUAAGGUCCCAAAAUAUAUGUUAAGUGGAAAAGGAUGUGGCGUUGCCCAGACAACUAGGAUGUUGGCUUAGAAGCAGCCAUCAUUUAAAGAGUGCGUAAUAGCUCACUAGUCGAGUGACACUGCGCCGAAAAUGUACCGGGGCUAAACAUAUUACCGAAGCUGUGGAUUGUCCUUUGGACAAUGGUAGGAGAGCGUUCUAAGGGCGUUGAAGCAUGAUCGUAAGGACAUGUGGAGCGCUUAGAAGUGAGAAUGCCGGUGUGAGUAGCGAAAGACGGGUGAGAAUCCCGUCCACCGAUUGACUAAGGUUUCCAGAGGAAGGCUCGUCCGCUCUGGGUUAGUCGGGUCCUAAGCUGAGGCCGACAGGCGUAGGCGAUGGAUAACAGGUUGAUAUUCCUGUACCACCUAUAAUCGUUUUAAUCGAUGGGGGGACGCAGUAGGAUAGGCGAAGCGUGCGA
This 751-nucleotide ribosomal RNA is filed under the name Staphylococcus aureus. RNAcentral's name for it is "partial 23S ribosomal RNA". It matches the Rfam family "Bacterial large subunit ribosomal RNA", at positions 745 to 1498 of the family's 2925-position model. Lineage: Bacteria; Bacillati; Bacillota; Bacilli; Caryophanales; Staphylococcaceae. The record is from RNAcentral.